Molecule: ribosomal RNA, 435 nt
Filed under: uncultured bacterium
Lineage: Bacteria
Description: bacterial SSU rRNA
Rfam family: Bacterial small subunit ribosomal RNA
Source: RNAcentral
GCUGGCGGCAGGUCUAACACAUGCAAGUCGAGCGCGUGUAGCAAUACACGAGCGGCAGACGGGUGAGUAACGCGUGGGAACGUGCCCUUCGGUUCGGAAUAACCCAGGGAAACUUGGGCUAAUACCGGAUACGUCCGAAAGGAGAAAGAUUUAUCGCCGAAGGAUCGGCCCGCGUCCGAUUAGCUAGUUGGUGAGGUAACGGCUCACCAAGGCGACGAUCGGUAGCUGGUCUGAGAGGAUGAUCAGCCACACUGGGACUGAGACACGGCCCAGACUCCUACGGGAGGCAGCAGUGGGGAAUAUUGGACAAUGGGCGCAAGCCUGAUCCAGCCAUGCCGCGUGAGUGAUGAAGGCCCUAGGGUUGUAAAGCUCUUUCGGCGGGGAAGAUAAUGACGGUACCCGCAGAAGAAGCCCCGGCUAACUUCGUGCCAGCAG